UAACCUGCCCUUGACUCUGGGAUAAGCCUGGGAAACUGGGUCUAAUACCGGAUAUGACCUUCCAUCGCAUGGUGGUUGGUGGAAAGCUUUUGUGGUUUUGGAUGGACUCGCGGCCUAUCAGCUUGUUGGUGGGGUAAUGGCCUACCAAGGCGACGACGGGUAGCCGGCCUGAGAGGGUGACCGGCCACACUGGGACUGAGACACGGCCCAGACUCCUACGGGAGGCAGCAGUGGGGAAUAUUGCACAAUGGGCGAAAGCCUGAUGCAGCGACGCCGCGUGAGGGAUGACGGCCUUCGGGUUGUAAACCUCUUUCAGUAGGGAAGAAGCGUAAGUGACGGUACCUGCAGAAGAAGCGCCGGCUAACUACGUGCCAGCAGCCGCGGUAAUACGUAGGGCGCAAGCGUUAUCCGGAAUUAUUGGGCGUAAAGAGCUCGUAGGCGGUUUGUCGCGUCUGCCGUGAAAGUCCGGGGCUCAACUCCGGAUCUGCGGUGGGUACGGGCAGACUAGAGUGAUGUAGGGGAGACUGGAAUUCCUGGUGUAGCGGUGAAAUGCGCAGAUAUCAGGAGGAACACCGAUGGCGAAGGCAGGUCUCUGGGCAUUAACUGACGCUGAGGAGCGAAAGCAUGGGGAGCGAACAGGAUUAGAUACCCUGGUAGUCCAUGCCGUAAACGUUGGGCACUAGGUGUGGGGGACAUUCCACGUUUUCCGCGCCGUAGCUAACGCAUUAAGUGCCCCGCCUGGGGAGUACGGCCGCAAGGCUAAAACUCAAAGGAAUUGACGGGGGCCCGCACAAGCGGCGGAGCAUGCGGAUUAAUUCGAUGCAACGCGAAGAACCUUACCAAGGCUUGACAUGAACCGGACCGCUGCAGAAAUGUGGUUUCCCCUUUGGGGCUGGUUUACAGGUGGUGCAUGGUUGUCGUCAGCUCGUGUCGUGAGAUGUUGGGUUAAGUCCCGCAACGAGCGCAACCCUCGUUCUAUGUUGCCAGCACGUGAUGGUGGGGACUCAUAGGAGACUGCCGGGGUCAACUCGGAGGAAGGUGGGGACGACGUCAAAUCAUCAUGCCCCUUAUGUCUUGGGCUUCACGCAUGCUACAAUGGCCGGUACAAAGGGUUGCGAUACUGUGAGGUGGAGCUAAUCCCAAAAAGCCGGUCUCAGUUCGGAUUGGGGUCUGCAACUCGACCCCAUGAAGUCGGAGUCGCUAGUAAUCGCAGAUCAGCAACGCUGCGGUGAAUACGUUCCCGGGCCUUGUACACACCGCCCGUCAAGUCACGAAAGUUGGUAACACCCGAAGCCGGUGGCCUAACCCCUUGUGGGAGGGAG
Molecule: ribosomal RNA, 1322 nt
Filed under: Arthrobacter sp.
Lineage: Bacteria; Bacillati; Actinomycetota; Actinomycetes; Micrococcales; Micrococcaceae
Description: bacterial SSU rRNA
Rfam family: Bacterial small subunit ribosomal RNA
Source: RNAcentral